CAGAGGACAGAGCCUGCUCCUUGGCAGCUCAAUCUCCCUGAGGGGCGGGCGGCGCCUUAGGAACUGGAAUUAUUUAGCAGCUGACACAUUCAAGUCACUCCAAGGAAUCUCCCACCCUGCACAGAAGUCUGAUCCAAUUUGCUGGGCCGCCCUCCUGAGACCCUCUGUUUCCAGAUGCACAUCCAAGCCAUAUUUUAGGUCAAAGUGGAAAACCGGAAACUCAGAGAGAAGGAACUCUCCCUAGGCCUCUGGACAGCAAGUCUCAGGAUGGGCCUGGAUUGUUGAGUCACCACUUGGAGAAAAACCUCCCCAAACAGCCCAGCCAACCCAGAAGCACUUCAGGGGACUUAGGGGAAGAAACCAACUUUCAUCAGUACCCUGCUUCCUGCCUCCUGCUGCCUGGAACUGAAGCCUGAAGUCACAUACCCUGUGGCUCCCUUCAAGCGCCUGCAAAGCCUGAUCGUGUCCCCACUGAGGUACUAAUGAAUGCCCU
This 493-nucleotide long non-coding RNA is filed under the name Heterocephalus glaber (naked mole-rat). Its description in RNAcentral is "lncRNA (ENSHGLG00000036116.1)". The record is from RNAcentral. Lineage: Eukaryota; Metazoa; Chordata; Mammalia; Rodentia; Bathyergidae.